This 487-nucleotide ribosomal RNA is filed under the name uncultured bacterium. Its description in RNAcentral is "bacterial SSU rRNA". It matches the Rfam family "Bacterial small subunit ribosomal RNA", at positions 29 to 523 of the family's 1533-position model. The record is from RNAcentral.
AUUGAACGCUGGCGGCAUGCCUUACACAUGCAAGUCGAACGGUAACAGAUCUUCGGAUGCUGACGAGUGGCGAACGGGUGAGUAAUACAUCGGAACGUGCCCGAGAGUGGGGGAUAACGAAGCGAAAGCUUUGCUAAUACCGCAUACGAUCUCAGGAUGAAAGCAGGGGACCGCAAGGCCUUGCGCUCACGGAGCGGCCGAUGGCAGAUUAGGUAGUUGGUGGGAUAAAAGCUUACCAAGCCGACGAUCUGUAGCUGGUCUGAGAGGACGACCAGCCACACUGGGACUGAGACACGGCCCAGACUCCUACGGGAGGCAGCAGUGGGGAAUUUUGGACAAUGGGCGCAAGCCUGAUCCAGCCAUGCCGCGUGCAGGAUGAAGGCCUUCGGGUUGUAAACCGUACUUUCCUAGUAGGACGGAAGCGCAAGUGACGGUACCGUACACGAAGAAGACAACCGGCCGAACUACGUGCCAGCAGCCGCGGUAA